UCUCUGUGUCACGCUCAUACAUCCAUUCCCACAGGUUUCAACGAACUUGCCACUUCUGUGUAUGUUUACCGUCAUUCAGAUGAAUGCCCAUUGGAUUUCUUGACCCUCGAGGAUCAAAAGAAGCACGAGGAAUGAAAUGCCAGACCACUGCUGACCAAUCUACAACCUUCAGGAAAGAUGCGGUUCAGCUUUUGAACUAAGAACAAAUCAAUGGAAAAAUAAUGCUGUAUCAAAUUUCAGUGUGUAAGAGCAGAAGCUAGGGGUGGAGGAAGAAAAGGAGGAGAAGGAAGAAGAAGAAAAUGAAGACGGUGAAGGAGAAGAAAGAAAAGAAGAGGAGGAGGAGAAGACAACAAAAUCAUGUGUUGAGCAUUGUCUAAAUUCACAAAUUAUCCUGCCUUUGACAAAGGCUGGCUCUGGACAAGUCCUUAUUUCUCAAGUGGGCACCUUUGUCUCCAUGAGAUGGUGGUGUAUGCUUUGCUCAGUCUAAAUUUUGUGAGGGCUCUGCCGGCAUCCAAGGUGAGCAUAAGUUAGGGCAAUGACUUGAGAUUUCCGGGUACUUACUAGAUGAACAUUCCUGAAAGUCUCUCAUAUCGGUGUCCUUAGUUGUGAGGGAGGUUGAGAAAAAUUAAUUGAAUUUAGGGCUAAUCAACUUUGUAUUGCCUGCUUUUAGACCGACAUUCCCUAAAUAAUUAGGAUACCUGUUCACAGAGCUGAGUAAGGAUCUGACCCAAAGUUUAAGGUCAUGAGGGAGACGAGUAACAGAUGAACAUCAAACUUUAUUCUGCAUCUAGUUAUCCACCAGGCAUUGGUAGCCACAUGCGAUGAGUCACUGUUGUUUUUGUUUUGUUUUGUUGUUUGUAGCAAAAAUAAAUUUUAAUCCCCGACUGCCUUAGAAGAAAUUUCAGCUCAAGCUUCUAAGGAGGAACAGGUAAGAGAGAGGCUCAGGAGUUUGUCCUCUGUCCCUAUAGUGGUCUCUGCUUGUGUCAGUGCUCCCUGCUUCUCAGGCGUUGGGAGUGGUGAGAUGGCGUAGGCUGUCCCUGCUUUGGAACCUCAGUGUGUCUUGUGGUAAACUUCUACUACUUCUGCCUGCUGCAGGCAUGGGCAAUGUCAAAAUCGAAGGAGUGAUAUUCAAAGCCAAGUGCAGUUUGACCUGAGCACUUCCUUUGAAAGCUGAUCACAUGGUGUAUGAACUACUGGCUCACCACAGUGGGCGCCCCGCCAUUUUUGGGUAUUCCCUUUUCUCCCUGUCUCCUCUGAGAAACUUUUCCCUUCACAUUUAGUUUUAAAAGUUCAUUUCUCUCUUUAAGCGGCAGCUCAAAUACCACAGUCUUCAAGUUAUUUCUGUAUUGAUUUUUCCC
Molecule: long non-coding RNA, 1358 nt
Filed under: Fukomys damarensis (Damara mole-rat)
Lineage: Eukaryota; Metazoa; Chordata; Mammalia; Rodentia; Bathyergidae
Description: lncRNA (ENSFDAG00000027957.1)
Source: RNAcentral